This 282-nucleotide ribosomal RNA is filed under the name uncultured Acholeplasma sp. RNAcentral's name for it is "partial 16S ribosomal RNA". It matches the Rfam family "Bacterial small subunit ribosomal RNA", at positions 1099 to 1382 of the family's 1533-position model. Lineage: Bacteria; Bacillati; Mycoplasmatota; Mollicutes; Acholeplasmatales; Acholeplasmataceae. The record is from RNAcentral.
CAACCCUUAUUGCUAGUUACCAUCAUUGAGUUGGGGACUCUAGCGAGACUGCCAGUGAUAAACUGGAGGAAGGUGGGGAUGACGUCAAAUCAUCAUGCCCCUUAUGACCUGGGCUACAAACGUGAUACAAUGGCUGAAACAAAGGGCAGCGAAGCAGUGAUGUGGAGCGAAACCCAAAAAAGCAGUCUCAGUUCGGAUUGAAGUCUGCAACUCGACUUCAUGAAGUCGGAAUCGCUAGUAAUCGCGGAUCAGAACGCCGCGGUGAAUACGUUCUCGGGGUUU